Sapajus apella (tufted capuchin) is the source of this 3188-nucleotide long non-coding RNA. RefSeq lists it as uncharacterized. The transcript has 2 exons. NCBI's taxonomy places the organism in Eukaryota, Metazoa, Chordata, Mammalia, Primates, Cebidae. The record is from RefSeq and is a predicted model, not a curated record.
UGAGGUACUUGGGUAGUCAAAUUCACAGAAACAGAAAGUAAAGUAGUGGUUACCAGGGACUGGGGGAGGAUAGAAAGGGGAGUUGGUGCUUAACGGGUAUAGAAUUUCAGUUUAGGAAGAUGAGAAAUUUUUAGAGUACUGAUGAUAGUUGCACAAGAAUGUAAAUGUUCUUAAUGCCAUUGAAUUGUAUACUUUAAAAUGAUUAAAAUGCUAAGUUUUAUGUAAUCUUUAUUUUUGUUACAAUUUUUUACAAGAGAGUGGGUCCUCAAUAUGUAAAUAUGAUGUAAAUUAAAAAAUAACAACAACAAAAAGAACACAGGGCAGCUCUUUAGUUUGCAGAUGACCCUUAAUUUGGGUUUCUCAGCUGUUUCCUUAUGAUCCCAGUUAGGGUAUACAUUUUUGUCACAGAUACCCCAGGAGUAAUAAUGUCCUGUUUUUCCCAGGGUCCCAUAUUAAGAGGCAUAUGAUAUUGGUUUCUCUGUUAUUGGUGAUAUUAACAUCAGCCCUUUGGAUCAUAUGAUGUCUCUUAGAUAUAUCUCCUAAAAACUUUCCCACUGUAAUUAAUAAGUAGUUUGGGGGUGGGAGAAAUGGUUUUAGACUUUUAAAAUACCUGUUUGCCUUCAAUCCUUCAUUCACUAGUUUUACCAUUCAUUGAUGAUUUUUGUCUGAGUCAAUUUAUGAUUAUUAUGAGUAUCAAAUGAUGGCUUUCUAACUCCAUCACACUUAUAUUUAUGGGUUGACAUUCUAUUUCCUUUCCUAUACAGAUUCAUUUAAUUAUUUAUUUUCAUAUAGCAUAAUGGAUUCAUGUUUUAUUCAAUGGAUUACAAUCAAUUACUUUCAUUAUUUGUUUUGAUGCUCAAAUUGUAUCAUAUUUAUUCACUGGGAAUCCCUUCAUGCUGGGCCCUGUAUCCUGUUGACAUAAAUCCAUUGGCACCAGAAGUUAUUCCAGGUUCACCUUAGUUGUCUUGCCCCAGUCCUAGAGCCACCCACUUUUCCACAGUGCAAUCAUUCCUUUUUUUGGAGAACAGUACUUAGAAACACAGUUCUAGGUGAUUAUGGCUUCUGGGCCUUCUAAAUAGACAAUAUGGAUAGAACUAGGAAAAAAAAUACACACAUGCACACACACACAUGUAUAUAUAAUUAUCUUUUAAAAGCCAAGAAUUUGUUAGUCCUUCCUAAAAAUUAUGUUCAUCCCAACAGGAUACAUUAUCUAGGUUAAAUUUUCCCUGCCUGUCUGAUAUCGCUUAUUAUUACUAGUUAUCUUUUAUCUGUCUAUUAAGCUGUGAGAUCCUUCAGAAGAGAGACUUCAUAUUUUUUGUCAUCUUUGUAUCCCCAUUGCCUAGGAAAAUAUCUGGUACAGAUUAGAUACUAAUAUUAAUUCCUAGGAUUGUUGGGUGAAAUGAUGGUUGGAUGAAAUGAUGGUUAUUUAGGAUCAUUGGGUAGGAGGAUUGUUGGGUAGAAUGGAGAUUGGGUGGAAGUGUAGUCAGAUGGGAGGAUGGUUGGUUAGGAUCUUUGGGUAGGAGGAUGGUUGGGUAGAAUGGAGUUUGGGUAGAAGUAUAGUUGGAUGGAAGAAUGGUUGUCAUGCAAGAGGAUUUGGGUUAGGGGAUGGUUGCAUGAGAGGAGUUGUUAAAUGGAAGAAUUACUAAGAUAAAGGAUUAUAUGGGAAGACGCUUUUGUGGGAGGUGAUCUGCAUGUCUUAUUUAGCAAUGUAUGCCUUUUUUGUUAUACUUGUGUACUCACUGCAUUCAGGAAUUGUUUAAGAAAUUAUUUUGGUUCCAUUUGGUCUUUCAGAUAGUAGGUGUUCAUUCAGUAUCUAUUGAUUGUCUGAAUAUGACUUUCAGGAAUAGCAAUGGAUGAUUUAUCUUUGGAUUCUUGGCAUUCUCCAUAGUGCUCAGCUUGGCAUAAAUACAUAUUUAAUAUUCAUUUUGACAGUAAGUCAGAUAAAAAACCACAGCAACAUAAUAUCUCCCCUAUUUAGCUUAUCAAGAAAACUAAGGCUAUGUAUUAGUUCCUUCAAUACUGAGUGUAGACUUGAUUCAUUCUCUCUGGAUAUGUAGUUGCUCCCAAAGUAUUCAAGUAGUGGUCACUACUUGGCAAGUAUUUCAAGAAUGGAGGGCAUUGUUUAGCUUUGUAAUUAUUCAUUGGCUCAUGUAAUCAGGAAACAAACUUUCACGUUGGAAGAAGGGUUACACCACACAAUCUGGGACCAUUUCAUUAUCAGGCAAUUGAGGCUAGAAAUAAUUCUCCUAGGGGUGGCUAGAUGUUCUGAAUACCUAUUUUAUCCAUUUCUGUUUUCUCAUACUAACGAAAUAAGUAGUGAAUUCUUCUCACAUUGAUAUUGAGAAAGGAAAGGAAACCCAAUAUUUUGGGCUAUUUUGCUUUUUGAUUUUUGGAUCUGCUAUGUGUUCUGGUGUCUGAAGAGAAAAUUUUCAUCUUUGAACCUUAGAAGUGAAGAUAAGUGCUGUGUAAUGUAUGUAAGAACAAGAAGAGACAGUGCUCUAGCCGAAAAUGUCUUUUUUCCCAGUAGUUUACAUCCUGGCCAAGUGUUCUUGUGCAAAGCAACCAAGUAACUUUUUCCCAUCCAGCUAUAAGAACGAAGAGACUGUUAUUGCUACCGGCUGGUAUUGAGUAAUCGUACAUAGGUGGGGUGGGUUGAAGGCAAUCUGAAUUAUAAAACGCCUUCCUUUGAAGUGAAAUCAAUUUUUAUUCUUAAUCUGUGAACAUGAGAUGGGAACAAAUAACUUCUGAGUGAAAUAAAGAUUUCUUAGCCUGUCAAGAUUUAUCUUAUCAAGCUGAAGAGGUGGGAUUCCUGUUAGCAACUGGCAGUUUUAAAAAUCCAUUCGCCUGAGGAAGUGUGAAAACAGUCUGCAGAACAAAGACACUGAGCUGUUGCUGCAUUGAGUGCUGAUUUGCUCCUUUUUUUACAUUUCCUGCUUGAGACCUCGCCAGGUCCAACUUUAAAACAUUUGCAGGCUAAUGGGAGUAUGUGCACAGGGAGUAUCAGAAAUCAUUUCCUUAGGGGAGGAGGUGUUUUGUGGUGCAAAAUGUUGAGGUUCUGUUGCCAAAACACCAACUGAAAUAGGGUAUUUUCUGUGAACUUCAUGGGUGGCUUUCAGAGGGAAUUCUCCAUGUCAUUCUCUGAUGUCUCUUAUUGGUCCUUGUUUUGCCAGAGUGGAAGAAAAAAAAAA